UCGCAGAGACAGCACCACCCAGCCACCCACAUCAUCGUUUCUGGCGUCGCGGAGACGCGGACAGCACCCGCCACCAAGCCACCGAGUCAAGUCAGAUAUGGAGCCUCCAAUUCAGCUCAGAGGAUGUCCUUCACAAUUAACAUAGAAAGCUCUUCCUUGUUUUGGGUGGUUGCCUCCAAGUUAGGGAAAUUCUGGUUUAGGGUUGAUUCUGAACUUUUUAGUUUAGAGGAAGACUUUGGAAGCUG
Long non-coding RNA from Arachis stenosperma, 245 nucleotides. RefSeq lists it as uncharacterized. Lineage: Eukaryota; Viridiplantae; Streptophyta; Magnoliopsida; Fabales; Fabaceae. The transcript is spliced from 3 exons. The record is from RefSeq and is a predicted model, not a curated record.